GGUCGCUUGGUCUAGUGGUAUGAUUCCAUCUUCGGGUGAUGGAGGACGCGGGUUCGAUUCUCGCAGCAGCCC
This is a transfer RNA of Schizosaccharomyces japonicus yFS275, 72 nucleotides long. It matches the Rfam family "tRNA". Rfam says of the family: Transfer RNA (tRNA) molecules are approximately 80 nucleotides in length. The record is from Rfam. NCBI's taxonomy places the organism in Eukaryota, Fungi, Ascomycota, Schizosaccharomycetes, Schizosaccharomycetales, Schizosaccharomycetaceae.